RNAcentral lists this non-coding RNA (104 nucleotides) under Pteridomonas danica. Lineage: Eukaryota; Dictyochophyceae; Pedinellales. The record is from RNAcentral.
UAGAAGUUCGAAGAAAUACUGCACUACUUGAAGAUAUUGUACAUCAAUUAGCAGAAUUAAGAAAUGAAAAUGCAAAUUUACGAAAACAAGGAAUAAAUCGUAAU